Molecule: ribosomal RNA, 746 nt
Filed under: uncultured bacterium
Lineage: Bacteria
Description: bacterial SSU rRNA
Rfam family: Bacterial small subunit ribosomal RNA
Source: RNAcentral
ACGCUGGCGGCAGGCCUAACACAUGCAAGUCGAGCGGUAGAGAGAAGCUUGCUUCUCUUGAGAGCGGCGGACGGGUGAGUAAUGCCUAGGAAUCUGUCUGGUAGUGGGGGAUAACGUUCGGAAACGGACGCUAAUACCGCAUACGUCCUACGGGAGAAAGCAGGGGACCUUCGGGCCCUUGCGCUAUCAGAUGAGCCUAGGUCGGAUUAGCUAGUUGGUGAGGUAAUGGCUCACCAAGGCGACGAUCCGUAACUGGUCUGAGAGGAUGAUCAGUCACACUGGAACUGAGACACGGUCCAGACUCCUACGGGAGGCAGCAGUGGGGAAUAUUGGACAAUGGGCGAAAGCCUGAUCCAGCCAUGCCGCGUGUGUGAAGAAGGUCUUCGGAUUGUAAAGCACUUUAAGUUGGGAGGAAGGGCAGUUACCUAAUACGUGAUUGUUUUGACGUUACCGACAGAAUAAGCACCGGCUAACUCUGUGCCAGCAGCCGCGGUAAUACAGAGGGUGCAAGCGUUAAUCGGAAUUACUGGGCGUAAAGCGCGCGUAGGUGGUUUGUUAAGUUGGAUGUGAAAUCCCCGGGCUCAACCUGGGAACUGCAUUCAAAACUGACUGACUAGAGUAUGGUAGAGGGUGGUGGAAUUUCCUGUGUAGCGGUGAAAUGCGUAGAUAUAGGAAGGAACACCAGUGGCGAAGGCGACCACCUGGACUGAUACUGACACUGAGGUGCGAAAGCGUGGGGAGCAAAC